CUGCCCUCCUGUGCGGACCGCCUGCCUGUGGUGGCUCCUUAGUACAACCACGUGGAUUCCAAGCCCAGCCAAUGGUAAAGGGGAAGGGGGCGGGGCGCCCAGUCAGAAGUCACGUGCUGCACACCUAACGUCUCCAUUGGCCAGCAUGUGGUCACAUGAUCAUACAAAGGCAAGGAAGGACCGGUAUACCCGGGUGUACCCCUGCGGCCUAGGGCAAGGAUUCCACUCUGAGGAGAGGAGGAGAAAUAGAAGUUCACCAUCCAAACAAGAGUCCAAAGUGGGAAGUGGCUGUUGCUGUGAAGGAGAUGGAGGAUUCUCUGCACAUUCCAGGAAAAGAAGACACAUUUGUGUAAGGCUAGAAAUUUUAGUUAAAUAAAAAUAGACAGUGGCGUGGGCUAAAUGCCCAAUGAACACUCAGAUAAAAAAUUGCCUUUGACACAAUAAGCAAUAUAUAUUUGGUCUCUGUCCCACUUCCUGGUAUGCGACUUCCAAAACCUUGGAAUCUCUGAAGUGACAAGUAUCUUCUUAAGUAUGAAGGAGGGGCGCCUGGGUGACUCAGUGGUUGAGUGUCUGCCUUUGGCUCAGGGCGUGAUCCCGCGGUCCCGGGAUUGCUUCUCCCUCUGCCUCUGUCUCUGUCUCUCUCUGUGUGUCUCUCAUGAAUAAAUAAAUAAAAUCUUAAAAAAAAAAAAAGAGUGUGAAGGAAAUGGCUGAGGCUGGAGGCUCCAGGAUAAACCGCAGGAUGGAGGCUGGUUGCCAGGGGAACCAACCUCCCAAUUAGAGGGUCGGUUUUUCAGCACCCCAUGCCUACUUUCCAAGAGGGAGGAGAGAAGGUUGGAAAUCGAGCUAAUCAUUCAUAUUGAGAAAUCAAUAUUUUGAUUAUUGAAAAUAUUGAGAAAUCAAUAAUUUCAUCCACUGAGCCUAUGACAUGAGGCCUCCAUUAAAAAAAAAAAAAAAGACAGGGAUCCCUGGGUGGCACAGAGGUUUGGCGCCUGCCUUUGGCCCAGGGCGCGAUCCUGGAGACCUGAGAUCGAAUCCCACAUUGGGCUCCCAGUGCAUGGAGCCUGCUUCUCCCUCUGUGCCCCCCACACUGGCCCCCAGUCAUCCCUUCAAUUGAGCUUGUACCUCUUUUUCAUAAACUAAUAAUA
Molecule: long non-coding RNA, 1145 nt
Filed under: Canis lupus familiaris (dog)
Lineage: Eukaryota; Metazoa; Chordata; Mammalia; Carnivora; Canidae
Description: lncRNA (ENSCAFG00000050654.1, ENSCAFG00845010947.1)
Source: RNAcentral